AACGCCCUCACAGGCGCUACCCAUAAACCCUUUGUGAAUACUACCUAACAUGUUGCCUCGGCAUUGGUUGGCCUCUUGUGAGGUCCCUUCUUUCGGGAAGGAGCAGACCGGCCGGUGGCCCUAUAAACUCUUGUUUUUGUAAUAUCAUCUGAGUAAAACAACUAAAUGAAUCAAAACUUUCAACAACGGAUCUCUUGGUUCUGGCAUCGAUGAAGAACGCAGCGAAAUGCGAUAAGUAAUGUGAAUUGCAGAAUUCAGUGAAUCAUCGAAUCUUUGAACGCACAUUGCGCCCGGUGGUAUUCCACCGGGCAUGCCUGUUCGAGCGUCAUUUCAACCCUCAAAGCCUUGGCUUUGGUGUUGGAGGAAUACCCUGUAAAAAGGGUACCCUCUGAAAUUUAGUGGCGGGCUCGCUAGAAUUUUGAGCGUAGUAAUUUUACCUCGUUUUUAAAGACUAGUGGGACUUCUUGCCGUAAAACCCCCCAACUUUCUGAAAAUUGACCUCGGAUCAGGUAGGAAUACCCGCUGAACUUAAGCAUAUCAAUAAGCGGAGGAAAAGAAACCAACAGGGAUUGCCCUAGUAACGGCGAGUGAAGCGGCAACAGCUCAAAUUUGAAAUCUGGCUUCGGCCCGAGUUGUAAUUUGCAGAGGAUGUUUAUGGUGCGGUACCUUCCGAGUUCCCUGGAACGGGACGCCACAGAGGGUGAGAGCCCCGUCUGGUUGGAUACCAAACCUGUGUUAAACUCCUUCAACGAGUCGAGUAGUUUGGGAAUGCUGCUCUAAAUGGGAGGUAAAUCUCUUCUAAAGCUAAAUACUGGCCAGAGACCGAUAGCGCACAAGUAGAGUGAUCGAAAGAUGAAAAGCACCUUGAAAAGGGGGUUAAACAGUACGUGAAAUUGUUGAAAGGGAAGCGUUUAUGACCAGACUUGUGUCGUGUGGCUCAUCCGAGGUUUUCCCCGGUGCACUCCACGCGGCUCAGGCCAACAUCGGUUCUCGUUGGGGGAUAAGAACAGUAGGAACGUAGCUCCUCUCGGGGAGUGUUAUAGCCUGUUGUACGAUACUCUGACGGGGACCGAGGACCGCGCU
RNAcentral lists this ribosomal RNA (1083 nucleotides) under Sordariomycetes sp. genotype 496. RNAcentral's name for it is "eukaryotic LSU rRNA". The stretch from base 496 to 1083 matches the Rfam family "Eukaryotic large subunit ribosomal RNA", at positions 1 to 601 of the family's 3401-position model. Lineage: Eukaryota; Fungi; Ascomycota; Sordariomycetes. The record is from RNAcentral.